RNAcentral lists this transfer RNA (64 nucleotides) under Maccaffertium mediopunctatum. RNAcentral's name for it is "tRNA-Ala". It matches the Rfam family "tRNA". From Rfam's summary of the family: Transfer RNA (tRNA) molecules are approximately 80 nucleotides in length. Lineage: Eukaryota; Metazoa; Arthropoda; Insecta; Ephemeroptera; Heptageniidae. The record is from RNAcentral.
GGGGCUGUAGUUAAAUAUAACAUUUGGUUUGCAUCCAGAAGGUGUUGGACCCCAACCAGCCUUA